CUCAUGUUGUUCUUCUUUGUUUGAGGGAGUUAAAAAUGUUCGUCUGAGGAAUGGAGGAAACAAGUUAAGUAAUUUAAAUCAGGCACUUUCAUAGUCGCCUAAUACACUGGGUCCUUCGGUCCUUCCCUACUUACGAACCGAAGGUCUUUUCUGGUUGCGUGUCCACGUGGAGAAGAUCAAGUGAAAACGGUUGUCACUAUGGGCUCUACAAGUGGCUAUUUCGUUGCAAUUUGGAUGGAUGUGGCAUUACGUUGUGACACGUGGGAAACGGUCUUAUGUUGGCCACCAUGAGAGCCAGGAGCAACUGCUUUUGAAUUCCAGGUGAACAGCCAAUGUGGUAAAAGGCUGCUACAGCAACAUGAGCAGGGUUGCAUGAAACCUGGGUCCAUCUAUAUUCUCCUUUCUAGUGGAGGUAAAUUACCCAGCAUUCAAUGACUAGUGUGUGAGAUGCUGUAUUCUACAAAUGUGUAUCUGCACUACAUACACUAUCCUCUAAAUCAUUGGAUUCAGGUUUUCCAAUCACUUCCAUGGCCACAGUUGUAUAAAAUCAAGGACCUAGGCACAAAGACUGCUUCUACAAACAUCUGUGAAAGAAUGGGUCUCGCUCACGUAAAAUCAGAGCGGGGUCAGCGCAUGCUGAGGCGUGCAAAAGUCGCAUGCAAAGUUUCAAUUCUGUUUUGACAUGUACACAGUAAAUUACUGUUAUGUCUGUGGGUCAAUUUGACUUGUAUUUGAAUUUUCUAAGGCAGACCCAGAAUAGCAUUUCUUUGUUGUAUUUUUUGUUUUGUUUUUAAUACCCCAUGAUGUUUAAAAAAGUAGCUUGUCUCCACUUAUUUCAAUACAGAAAAAUAUUGUGAGCUAUAGAUGGUAAAAAUGAGCUAUCACUUCCUAUUUCAAUCUAUCUGAAAAGCUAUUAAACCUGUUGUAUUUCUUGACA
Molecule: non-coding RNA, 937 nt
Organism: Pimephales promelas (fathead minnow)
Lineage: Eukaryota; Metazoa; Chordata; Actinopteri; Cypriniformes; Leuciscidae
Source: RefSeq, a predicted model, not a curated record